Molecule: ribosomal RNA, 286 nt
Filed under: Bacillus thuringiensis
Lineage: Bacteria; Bacillati; Bacillota; Bacilli; Caryophanales; Bacillaceae
Description: partial 16S ribosomal RNA
Rfam family: Bacterial small subunit ribosomal RNA
Source: RNAcentral
AAAUCAUCAUGCCCCUUAUGACCUGGGCUACACACGUGCUACAAUGGACGGUACAAAGAGCUGCAAGACCGCGAGGUGGAGCUAAUCUCAUAAAACCGUUCUCAGUUUGGAUUGUAGGCUGCAACUCGCCUACAUGAAGCUGGAAUCGCUUGUAAUCGCGGAUCAGCAUGCCGCGGUGAAUACGUUCCCGGGCCUUGUACACACCGCCCGUCACACCACGAGAGUUUGUAACACCCGAAGUCGGUGGGGUAACCUUUUUGGAGCCAGCCGCCUAUAGGGAGAUUGU